RNAcentral lists this ribosomal RNA (255 nucleotides) under uncultured bacterium. RNAcentral describes it as "partial 16S ribosomal RNA". It matches the Rfam family "Bacterial small subunit ribosomal RNA", at positions 793 to 1055 of the family's 1533-position model. The record is from RNAcentral.
GUCCACGCCGUAAACGAUGGAUACUAGCUGUUCGGAGCAAUCUGAGUGGCUAAGCGAAAGUGAUAAGUAUCCCACCUGGGGAGUACGUUCGCAAGAAUGAAACUCAAAGGAAUUGACGGGGGCCCGCACAAGCGGUGGAACAUGUGGUUUAAUUCGAUGAUACGCGAGGAACCUUACCAAGGCUUAAAUGUAGAUUGACCGGUUUGGAAACAGAUCUUUCGCAAGACAAUUUACAAGGUGCUGCAUGGUUGUCGU